ACGGAGGGUGCAAGCGUUAUUCGGAUUUAUUGGGCGUAAAGGGCGCGUAGGCGGCUUUUUAAGUCAGAUGUGAAAUCCCGGGGCUUAACCUCGGAAGUGCAUUUGAAACUGUGGAGCUUGAGUAUGGUAGAGGGGAGCGGAAUUCCUGGUGUAGCGGUGAAAUGCGUAGAUAUCAGGCGGAACACCGGUGGCGAAAGCAGUUCCCCAGAUCAAUACUGACGCUCAGGCGCGAAAGCGCGGGGAUCAAACAG
This 251-nucleotide ribosomal RNA is filed under the name uncultured prokaryote. Its description in RNAcentral is "partial 16S rRNA". It matches the Rfam family "Bacterial small subunit ribosomal RNA", at positions 525 to 775 of the family's 1533-position model. The record is from RNAcentral.